RNAcentral lists this unclassified non-coding RNA (895 nucleotides) under Hevea brasiliensis (rubber tree). The record is from RNAcentral. Lineage: Eukaryota; Viridiplantae; Streptophyta; Magnoliopsida; Malpighiales; Euphorbiaceae.
AUGAUCUUUCAGGUAUUUUUUUUUUUUUUUGGUUGAAACUGUUGAUCAAAUAAGUGUUUUAAUGGUAACUGUAUUAGAGAGUGUGCAUGCAUUUGUUUUCCUUUGUGAUUAUGAAUUGGAACUUAACUUGUUUUUAUGUAAUAUUAUAAUGAUUUUAUUUGGAAAAAGAUCUGUUUCAAUUUUUUGUUCUCAUGGAAUUACUUGCCUAAGCUAGAGCCAUUCUCUUAUGAGAGCAGAAUCUUGGUGCAAUUACAUUCAUGUGUAGGAAUUCUUCAGUUUUUGCAAUUUAAAUAAAAAUGAGAGUGUGAGACGCCCACUAAAUUUGGGAGGAAAGUAGAUUCCGAAGUGGAGGGAAUUUUGUUGAAUAAUCAAGAAAUCAACAGUUGAGAUAUUUGGUAAUGGGAAUUUUCUGGUGAUUUGAUAUUUCAUAAAAGCAUUUUAGUGUGAUUGACCCUUUUCGUUUUUGGAUAAAAUCUUGAUGCUUAUAUUAGAAAGCUGAACUUGAGUUUUGACUGUGACAUAUCUGAAAUAUCAUUAAUUGCUUACUUUGUGGUUCUCAAUGAGGUUGACCCUAUCCAUAUUUUCGUUCUUUGUGAUUAGCUCUUCUUGUGGUUGGACAGGCCACCUAGGAGGAUCUUGUACUCACUAGAUAAUUUGCUGGUCUCUAUAAGGCAGCUUAAUUUAAUACUCACCUAGGAGGAUCUUGCACUUUCCAGAUGAUUUGAUGGUCUUUAUUGGGUAGCUUAAAUUAAUUUUCACCUAGGAAGAUCUUGCACUUACUAGAUGAUUUGACAGUCUCUAUUAGGCAACUUAAUUUAUUUGUCACUGUGUAUGGUGUCCAUCAUACUUUUCAUCCUUAACAAUAUGAUACUUAUGAAGAUUGUUGUCCAGAUAA